This is a long non-coding RNA of Camellia sinensis, 1059 nucleotides long. RefSeq lists it as uncharacterized. The record is from RefSeq and is a predicted model, not a curated record. Lineage: Eukaryota; Viridiplantae; Streptophyta; Magnoliopsida; Ericales; Theaceae.
ACUCUGUCGGUCCUCUCCCAUUUCGCUCUCAUCAUCCCUCUUCUCUUUCUCUCACUCCAUCGCAGGCGACCCUCCUACCAGCCACAGUCCACCACUGUUGCACACGAGCACCCACCUCCUCACCGGCGACGGUACGACCCACCUCCCCACCAGCGAUAGUACCACCCAUGUCCCCACCAGCAAUGGACAGCAGUAGCUACUUUCAUUUGUGUCUCCUCCAGCGCACACCAGUUAAAGUUCAAAUCGGAUUCGAUUGGAACUAGAGAUACUUUAGCAGUGAAGAGGACUCUUUUGAAAAGGAGCUCUCUUCUUCUCCACCAAGCACAAGGUUUGUGUGAGAAAAAAUCAAUUGGGGUUGUGAAUGAUGUCCCAACUUUCAAUGCUGAGAAUACGCAGAACAACAUGAAAGCUGUCUAUUAUAGUAGGACUCAUAGCAAAGGCGGGGUUUUCCAUCCAUUCAUACUUUGAUUCCUGGAACCAGAUUAUAUUUGAUGGCAUUUUGGCAAGGCUUAUGUCAUUCGUGCUGUUUUGGACGUAUCCUUUUCAUAAUUCAGAAGAUUAUGCACAGAAUAACUAAGAAAAUUAAGAAAACACAAGUGCAGACAGAGUCUGAAGACCCCAUGUAAGGAUGAUGCCAAGUGCAUUGUUGGUUGAUACUAAAAGCCAAGCAUUGUUCCUUGUUCUCAAGGUGCAUUGCUUUUUCCUUUUUGGGUGGCAAAGUGGUAUAUCUUCAUUAAAGUGGAGUGUUUCCAUUUCCCAAACCAGAACUGCAACUGACACCCAAAAAUUGGAGGACCUAGUCUUGUUGGUGGUUGCGAACUGUCUAACGGAUACAUUGAAUGGCUUUUGGCGUGGACUUGUGGAUAGUCUACAUUUUUGUUUAUGAAGGACACUUGACACUUUUGUAUAAUCCUGCUAACUGUGUCUUUCUCUGCUUUUGUGAAAGUAUUUUUUGUAUACGGAGGGUUUUGAUUUUUGUAUGAUUCUAUAUUUUGUAUGGAAUUAUUAUUUUAGUUUGGACAAUAGUUGGUUUGUAUGGACUUUGACAUUUAAAAGUUA